GUUCGAGGCAAAAGCAAUUUCAGUUAGAGGGUAUGGGAUCUAAUUCCACGGUUGUGGUGAGACGAUGCUAAAAGAAAAGAGGAGGAAGAAUGGAAGAUGGUGGUGGAAACACGACAGUGAAUGGAGGUUGUUGUGGUGGUUCGGAUGUUUGAGAGUGAAACGGAGGGAGAUCCGGAGGUAGCGGUGGUUUUUAUGGCAGUGAAGUUGGUUUUGAUGAAGGAAUCUCCCCCUUGAGUUCUUUUCAGAAAGCCUUUUUUAGAGGAAGGGAUUUCGUUUUCUUUCUCUUAAAAGUCAUUCCUCUUUUUCUCGUGACGGAUCCCCCCAAAAAGGUUGUCUAAAGAGAGAGUAUUAUUGGCCAAUGAAAAGAAACCGUUGGGAAGGGAGAAUAACGUAUGUGUAAGGAGAAUGGACGUGUGUCCUCCUCCUAGUGGAGAAUUGGGAGAUAUUCUUCAAUUGAUUCCUCCCUUAGAAAAAUCGUGAAAUUGAAGAUAAGAUGGGAUUCUAUGCGCCACGUGGACCAUCUUGAUUGGGGCUUAAAUUCUUUUUAUUUAAUUUUUAAAAUUUUCUUUUCUUAUUUUAUUUGAUUUUGAUUGGUCAAGAGAGGUGGACAUGGAUAAUUAUUGUGAGCCUUAGAUUAAUUUGAAUUAAUGAUCAGGAUUGGAUUAAAGAAAUACAAAUAAAUCCAAAAUGUCUACAAUGUCCCUUCUAGAUGAUUUAAUUGAUUUAAAACAAAUUAAAUCAACCAAAUCAAAUAAAAUUCCCAUCUUUAUACACAUGAUAAAAAUAAAAUGAGGACAUGAAAAAUUCUAUUUAAUUAUUCUGAUUAACUUGACAAAAGAAUAAAAUGACUAAAUAUGAAUAAAAGUCGGGCGAAAAUUUGCUCGACAAAUUAAACUGAAUGCAUUAAAAUGAUCAGUGCGAAAUAAACUUAUUGGAAAAAUACAACAUUUCUUUUAAUUCAAAAAUAAUUUUUGAUCGGUUAAAAGGUUUAGACGGAUCAAAAUACAGCUGAAAAAGUCGUCGAAAAAUAUAACGAGCACACCAGGUUAUACUACGCGAACCGUAGAUUAAUAAUACUGACGUCUGCAAGCUUGAUUUCGAAACUUCUUACCCGCUAAUUUUAUAUUUACUUGAGAAAUUAUUUAAUCAAUUUAUCUGUAUAUUCGAUAAUUUAUUCCGACUGAUAUUUUAGGUAUUAUUCAUGAUGGAAUGCAUGUCAUGCUAUACAUAUGAUGCAAACUGAAAUUAAAAUCGAAUUUAUGAAAGUUUUAAAAUGCCCGGACAAAAUUGGGGUAUGACAGCUGCCCCUAUUUAAUCACCUUAAACUAGAAGGUAUGAAUGACAACAGUCUUCGUAUAUUCGUGGUGGAAGAUAAUUAAAUAAGAAAAAACCCAAAUUUUGUCCUUUGAGAUGCAAGGAUGAAAUGCAUAAAGAAAAUGCAGUGAGAAAUACGGUAAGAAAAGUUAUUAUAAGGUAAAAUGAAACAAUAAAGGCUCUCUGGGAAUCAUCAGAAUAAUAUCUUGGAUGCCAUGAUCGAGAUAUUCCAAUAGUGGAAUCAUACCUCAAAUGUAUCUAAGACUUUCUGAAAAUUAGCAGAAUAUUAUCUUGAACUGAACACACGAGAUUCCAUGAGGAUCAACGAAGCAGUAUCUUACAUGAUAUAAUCGAGAUAUUCCAACAAGGGAAUGAUACCUCAAUCGUAUCUAGGGUUCUUCGAGGAUACUAGAGCAUCAUCUCUAAGAACAAAUGAGAUUCUUCAAAUUAAUGAAGCAGUAUCUCAAACAGAUGGAUGAUAUUCUCUAUGUCAACGAAGCAACAUCUUAUAUGAUCUAAUCAAGAUAUUCCAAUAGAGGAACAAUACCUUAAUUGAAUCUAAGACUCUUCGAGGAUACUAGAGCAAUAUCUCUGAGAAUAAAUAAGAUUCUUCAGAUAAAUGAAGCAGCAUCUCAAACAGAUAAAUAAGGUUCUCUGGAUCAAUGAAGCAGCAUCUUAUAUGAUCUAAUCAAGAUAUUCCAACAAAGGAAUGAUACCUUAAUUGAAUCUAAGACUCCUCGAGGAUACUAGAGCAGUACCUCUAAAACCAAUGAGACUCUUCAAAUCAAUGAAGCAGUAUCUCAGAUAGAUAAAUGAGAUUCUUCAAGUGAAUGAAGCAGUUUCUCAAACAGAUAAAUGAGAUUCUUCGAAUCAACUACGCAACAUCUUACAUGAUAUAAUCAAGAUAUUCCAACAAGGUAAUGAUACCUUAACUGAAUCUAAGACUCUUCGAGGAUACUAGAGCAGUAUCUCUAAAAACAAAUGAGACUCUUCAGAUAAAUGAAGCAGUAUCUCAAGCAGAUAAGUGAGAUUCUCUGAUCAACGAAGCACCAUCUUAUAUGAUAUAAUCAAGAUAUUCCAACACCGAGAAUGAUACCUUAAUUGAAUCUAAGACUCUUCGAGGAUACUAGAGCAGUAUCUCCAUAAACAAAUGAGACUCUUCAGAUAAAUAAAGCAGUAUCUCAAGCAGAUAAGUGAGAUUCUCCAGAUCAACGAAGCAGCAUCUUAUAUGAUAUAAUCAAGAUAUUCCAACAAGGGAAUGAUACCGUAAUUGAAUCUAAGACUCUUUGAGGAUACUAGAGCAAUAUCUCUAAAAACAGAUGUGACUCUUCAGAUUAAUGAAGCAGUAUCUCAAACAAAUAAAUGAGAUUCUCCGAAUCAACGAAGCAACAUCUUACAUGAUAUAAUCAAGAUAUUCCAACAUAGGGAAUGAUACCUUAAUUGUAUCUAAGACUCUUUGAAGAUACCAGAGCAGUAUCUCUAAAACAAAUAAGAUUCUUCAAAUUAAUGAAGUAGUAUCUCAAGCUGAUAAAUGAGAUUCUCUGAAUUAACGAAGCAACAUCUUACAUGAUAUAAUCAAGAUAUUCCAACAAGGGAAUGAUACCUUAAUUGUAUCUAAGACUCUUCAAGGAUACUAGAGUAGUAUCUCUAAAACCAAAUGAGACUCUUCAGAUUAAUAAAGCAGUAUCUCAAACAAAUAAGUGAGAUUCUCCGAAUCAACAAUGCAUCAUCUUACGAUAUAAUCAAGAUAUUCCAACACCGAGAAUGAUACCUUAAUUGAAUCUAAGACUCUUCGUGGAUACUAGAGCAGUAUCUCUAAAAACAAAUGAGACUCUUCAGGUUAAUGAAGCAGUAUCUCAAACAGAUAAGUGAGAUUCUCCAGAUCAACGAAGCAGUAUCUUAUAUGAUAUAAUCAAGAUAUUCCAAUAAGGGAAUGAUACCUUAAUUGAAUCUAAGACUCUUCGAGGAUACUAGAGCAGUAUCUCUAAAACAAAUGAGAUUCUUUAAAUCAAUGAAGCAGUAUCUCAAAUAGAAAAAUGAGAUUCUUCAAAUAAAUGAAGCAGUAUCACAAACAGAUAAAUGAGAUUCUUCAGAUAAAUGAAGCAGUAUCUCAAACAACAUAUGAGAUUCUCCGAAUCAAUGAAGCAAUAUCUCAAAUGUUUAUUUGUUGGGGGAAAUAGUUCAGAAAAGACUCCCUCUAGAGGAUAUUUACUGGAAAUGCUCUGCAAGGGAAAAGCUCACAAGAGACUUUUUAGGGUAGCCUCUGCUUGAGGAGCAAUGAUAGCAAAGAUGAUGGGGUAUAUCUUUAUUAACCAUAAAGUUUGAAGAAUUACUUGUUGGAAAAUAAUUCCACGAGCACAUGCAGGGUAAUAAUUCCAUUGAACUAAAUGAGAAAAGUCUGGGAUACAUAUGAAUGACCAUGGAUCCUGAAUUAUGUAAUGUUUGAUGUUUUGUAUGAUGUUCCACUUUGGAUGGAAGUACUUAUGCAUGUAAUGAUACGUGAGAUGUAUGCAAGUAUGCAAUUGCUGGGGAUAUUUAGAUGUAGGCAUGCAGGAAUGCGAAUGACUUUGUUCGAUUUUGUAUAAGGUUAUGCAUAAGUAUGCUGAUGAUUGAUAGGAUAGUGUUUUGAUGAAUUUACCUAUUUUAGAAGGAAAAUUAUGCAUGAAUGAUGCAUGUGAUGCACGUGGGAAUGCAACUGGAUACUUGGAUUUUUUUUGUAGGGCUUUAUUUUUUAUUUCCAAUGGAAUUGGACUUUGAAGGUGAACUGCCAGAUGAGAACUGGUGAAAAAGAUUGAACUGCCAAAUGAGAACAUAACUUGAAGGAUAUGUUACCAGACGAGAAUUGGUGAAAAUAAUUGAAAUGUCAGACGGGACUGACUUUGUUUUUAUUUUUCAUACGAGAACUGACUUUUAAAGUAGGUUACCAGACGAGAACUGGUUACGAAAAAUAGACUACCAGACAGGAACUAGUAUCGAAAUAGGUGACCUACUAGACGAGAACUGGUAUUAAGAGAUAAUUUACCAGACGAGAACUGGUAUUGGUAAAUGAUUUGUCAUACAAGAAUCAAUUUUUUUUUGAAAUAGUUCGCCAGACGAGAACUGGACUUUGGAAAUAAAUUGUCAGACGAGAACUGGACUUUGAAAUAAAUUGCCAGACGAGAACUGGAUUUUUAAAUAAAUUGCCAGACGGGAACUGGAUUUUGAAAUAAAUUUCUAGACGGGAACUGGACUUUGAAAUAAAUUUCCAUACGAGAACUGGACUUUGAAAUAAAUUUUCAGACGAGAACUAGACUUUGAAAUACAUUGCCAGACGGGAAGUGGACUUUGAAAUAAAUUGCUAGACGGGAACUGGACUUUGAGUUGCCAAUCGAUGUUGGGCUUUGAUGUCAAAUCUUGUGUUACAAGGCUUUUUGAUGUCAUGUUCAAUGUUAUGGGGUUAGACCCGAUGAAUGUUAUGAUAUGCAUGGUUUUAUGUUAGAGCAAAGCGACAUGACUAAUGCAUGAGGAUGAUUUAUGCAAUGAUUUGCAUGUUUCCAAAAUGCCCCUGUGUGGGUAUUGGAAGAGAAGGUUCUUUGCAGAAAGGCUUCUUGUCUGUCAAAAGGUUAUUUUAUGGGGUGAUAGCAUGAUUCCUCGACACUCAUCUUGAACUCUACAGUUGAUGACGUGUGAAAAAGCUUUUGCUUAAAUAACUUGAAAUCACGGAGAAGACUUGCUCCCGUGUGGCCCAUUCUGCCCCAGUUAGUUGGGUCUUUGCAGAAUGUUUACCUCGAAAGGAUUUUGAAAGCAAUUGUACCAUAAUUUGAAGAUGGCUUGCCCCAUAAUUUUAAGUCAUGAAAGGAUUUAUCCUUGGUUAACCGACUCUUUGAGUGGUUGAAUUUACUGUACUAUUGAGGUAGCUUACUCCGGUAUGAGUAUUGAAGCGACUUAACUCACCCUGACUGAACAUUUAAGGGGUUUUCCCCUGGCCAAUAGAACCUCUAGGUGAUCUGCCCCUAGUUAAUAGAGUCCUGAGAUGAUUUUCUCUGGAUCAACCGACUCUUGAAUGACUUGCUCCUUAAUUAACAAAUGUUUGGAAACUUUUUCAAACUGACUGAUUCUUGGAGUAAUCUUCCUAUGAUCAACUGAUGUUUUUAGGUGACAUGCCCCUGAUUCAUGGGUUAUGAGCAAGCUUCUCUGAUUGCUCUUUGUUGAAAUUUCCCUGACGUCAAGUACUGACUUGCAGUUAAAAUUGUUUAUUCAUAAAUGGUAAUUUUAAUGCGAUACUGAUGCAAGUUUUGAAAAGAAUCAUUUAUUAGAAUGAUGUGAUAGUGUGUGACGAGUGGACCAUGAGUCCAAACGCAUUGUUUAUUUAGCUAGUGUGUGAAAACAUACAGCGAGAAUAUGAUACCAAUAUAGGUGAUUAGCAAAUAUCUAGGAGCCAGUUUACACAAACUUGAUGUAGUAUGCUUUCAAAAUAAGCCUUGCUUCAAUUAGGUCUUUUAUGGGUUGUAACAUGGCCUGGUUCACGGUUUUUGAACAAAAGGAUAUAAGGCUCAAAGUUUAUUUUAACCCACCCCUUCUUCGUGAUGAUCUCCAGUCCUCCUAAGCUCAGUUAAUUCAACAUUCACAUUCGUCUUUAAGGCUUGACAGUGUAAGGAAAAAGAUGAAGAUUCAAGACUUUCUUGAAAUGGCAGUCACCUUACUUCGUUUUUUGGAUGUCGGUGACCCUUUGAUUUUGGUAUGGUGGUCACUAAAUCUUGUUUUGUUUUGUUAAGGGUUUGCGUGACCUCUUUUGUUUUUUGUUUUGAUCCCUAACUUUUUCCUGGACCGCUUUUUUAAGCUUUAGUCCAUCGAGGUUGCCUCUUUGGGUGUUCGACUUAGCGAGCUCUCUUUUUUUGAAAAAUUAUGACUGCCAAGUCUUUGGUCAUUGAAGAACAACCGACAUAAAUUUUGGAUUUUGUAUGGUUCCUUUGACACUUUAGGAUGUGUGUGAAGAACAUCAUGUGGUUGAUCUCGAUAUGGGAUGUAUUCUCUUGUAAUUCAAAAGUGGAGUCAGAUUAACUGAACACUACCAUGCCCCGGGUUAAACAUAAGGGUUUGUAGAUCCGAAAGAAAUAACUACUUCUAGGCUCGAAGUGGUUGACUAUGGAUUAACUCCUUAUCUCUCCAGUGUUUGGGAAUUUGAAACAAUGCCUGUACAUUAUCAGUAGGAUUCUAUCCGAAAGCAUACAGUCAGCAAUUAUGGGUAUUUUGUUUUCGUCACCUCCCUCCAAUAUUGCUAAAACAACAGUUUGAUAAAGAAGGGUGAAUGGGAGAAACACAUAUGUAUUUUUGUUUUUGAUAUAAGAGAAGAAAAAUAAGCGAAUGCGAGAUAAUUGAUUUAAAACAUGCAUGAUUGCUUCAUUAAUAUUACCAUUAAAAAUAACAAUGUACAGAAACAAGUAGCAUUUAACAACAAGGAAAUUAUAAAUGUAAUGAUAAAAAAAAUUAGUCCAAUGAUUUUCAAUGAUAUCUUCCUGACUGAACCACUGGCAUUAGGAGAUACUAUAUGAAGUCUUCAACCUCAUUCGGGUGAGAAGUUGUCAUGCACCAAUAGGCUUCCUUUUGAAAAGGAUACGUCAAUCAACUGUUGUACUUUGGCCUUGAAAGCAUUCCAGUCUUAAGUUGAGUGCCCUAUUGAUCCAACAUGGUAUCCACAUUGUACAUCGGGAUCAUACCCAGGUGGGUACGGUUCUGGCGAUGACCUGAGAGACUUGGGCUCCACCAGUGAGCUUUGAAUCAUACAUGGCAGAAGUCGACUGUAUGACAUAGGGAUUGGACCGAGAGGAGCAUUCCUUCUUUCCAGAUUGUUUUGAGGCCUAUCCUGGUUCAGAUGCUGAUUUUGAUAUCCUUGACCACGAGAUCUUUGAUUUGUAUGAGGAGCAGUAUGUGGUUGCUUGAAUGAUGCUCUAGGCAUUCCUGGUUGCCUAUAAGGAUAGCGUGGUGUUGGAAAUGGUGAUUAUUGAAAAGAUGAAGAAUCAUAAGGUCUGGCUGGUGCACAGUGAGAAUGCCCAACAUCUGCUAUGACUGCAUUUGUUUCAUCCUCUUCUUCCUUUUGGGAAUUGCUGAGGGAGUCUAUCUUGCUAGCUUGGCUGCUUGAGGCGCCUUGGAUUCUUCCGCUUUUUAGGGCACUCUCGAUGUGUUCUCCAAUUGUCACUAAGUGGGCAAAGUUUGAUAACGCAUUGCCUACCAUCCUUUCAAAGUAAGGACUCUGCAAGGUAUUCAUAAACAAGUCAACCAGUUCCUUAUCCAAGAGUGGUGGUUGCACUUGGGCUGCCAAUUCUCUCUAUUGCUAUGCAUAUCCUUUCAAAGAUUCGUCGCUCUUUUGGGAUAAGCUUUGUAGCUGCCUUCGGUCUAGAGCCAUGUCCAAGUUGUAGUUGUACUGCUUCAAAAAAGCAUUGGCUAAGUCUUCCCAUGACUGAAUAUUGCUUCUUUUCAACUUUGUAUACCAGCUCAACGAUGUUCCAAUCAAACUGUCUUGAAAACAGUGAAUCAUCAGCUUGUCAUCGUGAGUAUGUGAUGCCAUUUUUUGGAAGAACAUUACCAAAUGGUGCCUUGGACAACUAUCCCCUUUGUACUUCUUGAAGUUGGGUAAUUUGAAUUCCAGGAGGAUUACUAGGCCUGGUACUAAGCAUAUAUCAUGCCUAAGAUUAUCAUUCACAUCCAUUGCUUGGACUCUCUCCUCAAGGGCAUGAAGCCUUUCAACAUCAGGAUUGGUCAAUGACAUCAAUUGGGAUUGAGUAGGGAUAUUCACUUGUGGAGGACUAUAGUCUGGCAGAGGGUCAUACAUUGGGUUUGUAAUUACAUUAAAGCUUGAUAAGGAACCAACAUUCUCUAUGACACCAUGUUGAAAAUUGUUCUUUGACUGGGCUAUCCUAGCUUCCAACAUCUGGUCUAUCUUGCCUUUCAUGUUAUUCAUAUCCAUUUUCAGCUCAACUUGAUUAUGUUCCCAGUGCUGCCUUGUCUUUUAGUUGCUCUCAAAGGUUCAGUACGAGUGUCAGGAAAUCAACCUGCUGGUAAUGGGAAAAAGGCGGGAUGAGUUUUUUGGUUUAUGAAAAUGAUAUGCAAUCCAUGCUGAUGAUAUGUGAAUGCAUGAAAUUUUGCUAUGUUUUUUUAUAUGCAAGGGAAUACAAUGCAAUACUCAUGAUCACAUGUAUGUCGUGUAAGUCAGGGUAAUAGGAGGAAGUAUAGGUUUCUCUGAUUACUAAAAAUCCCAAGGGUAGGCUCUAAGGUUGUGUUUUCAAGGAAAGAACUUAGAGUCACAAAUCAUGUUCAAAACUUCCUCGCAAUAAUGGGCUGGCCACAUCAUGAUGAAAGUUUUGAAAUGAUCUAAUCUAAGUGGGAUCUUCGUAUUGUUUGAACAGGGUGUAGACCCCUCGGUUCAAUACUACACAAUCGCCAACCAUGAAAACAAACUUUUGGUUAAGGUGAGGUUCCUAGAGUUACAGACCAUGUUCAAAGUUUCCUCGCAAUAGUGGGCUAGCCAUAUUAUGAUGGAAAUUUCGAACAGAUCUACUCUAGGUGGAGUCUUCGUAUUAUUCCAACGAGGUGUAUACCCCUCGGUUCUACAUAACUCCCGGUUCUAAGUUCUUCUCAAAGCUCGGGUACAGAGCUUGUCUUACAACAUGCAUCAAGCACCAUAGAUCACCCAUCACAACAUCAGAGAAGCAAAUCACAUAUAGCAUAAAUAAUACAAUAAGAUAAAGAGAAAGAAAGAAACAACAUUUUAGCAUUCAUCGCAAAUUGAAAUAAAUUAGGCUUGACUCUCUCUUUCUUGGAGUAAAUCGUCCCCAGCAGAGUCGCCAGUUGUCUCAUCUCGAAAAAUACGAUCCCUCACGAUGGUCACGGAAAAAAUUGUUCGAAUAGAGUUGCCACCGAACUUUAUUUAUCCCAAUGAAGGAAUAGGAAAAUAUCGAUAAAACCUUUAAAAAUAUAAUAAUGGUAGUCAAAACCAUAUUCGGGUUCGGGAGUCGAUUACGCAAAGGGAAGGUAUUAGCAUCCCUCACGUCCGUUGUACUCAAUGAAAACCUUUUAGUUUAAUUUGCGAUUUGAAUGUUAUCUAAUGUUAUUUGUUUUCUUCGAGUGAAUAAAAAUAUUGAAAAGAAAUGGAUGGAAACCUCAGAAGGGGGGAAGAUGGAGGUUUUUUAUUAGUGUGCUCGCCAAGAUCUCGCAAUCUCGUGCCUACAUAUCCUUAUGGUGAAAUGAGGAAAUCAGAGCAUUCGUAGUUCAGGGAACUACGGUUGGUUGGUGUUUUUUAAUGAACGACUAUUUAGAUCGCGUUCUAAAGGCUAAACAUUGGCUUGUCUACUCUCGGAGGAGGCUUAAGCACUAGUUUAUUGUGCGCGUUAGAAAGGAUUAAACAGUGAUCUUCAUGAAAAGGUUUUCGAUUGCACGGGGGCAAGAAAAGGGGUUUAAUAGGUUGAAUGUGUUUUAAUGAACAAGUGCUUAGAUCACACUAUAAUGGUUAAACAUUGGCUUGCACGCUGGUGGUGGAGAUUUAAGCGCUAGUUUGUGUACGCACUAGAAAGGAUUAAGCAAUGUUCUUUCUAAAAAGAAUUAAGUUGUUGAUCGCACGGGGGCGAGGAAUUAAGUUUAGUGUGUUUGGUAUUUUGAAGAAGAACGACAAAUAUUGAGCAAUAUGGUGCACACCAAUCGUUCAAUUAUUCGAGGAAUAACAAGGCGAACGCCUCCUAUUUCCUUUUUCGUUCAAAUUAGUAUUAAAUGUUGUUUGCGGAAAUCGAAUAUGUGCGGUAGUGAGGCGAACACCUCCUACUUGCUUACUCGAGGAAUAAUGAGGCAUUCACCACCUAUUCCUUUAUCCAAGUUUACUUAGAGUGUUUUAAUCGGAAGACGGAAGUUUGAGCAAUAUGGCGAGCGCCAAUCAUUCAAAUAUUCGAGAGAUAGUGAAGCGAACGCCUUCCAUUCUCCUUUUCACCUGAAGUUUUAGGUUAUAAAAGAAAGUUCUUAGAAGUUAUGUUAAUUCGGAAAGAUGAUUUGAAUUCGCAUUGAUGUGAAGUUAAUCGAGUUUGAGAAAUAAAUACUUGGGGUAUCAAUCACCUAAUCGAUAAAUCAAAAUCGAAUAGAUCUCAUUGUAAGAAAGCCCAAGAGUAAGCUAUGUGAGGUUGAUGGAGAUGCUUAAAAGCUAUCGUCUUACGAAGGUAUUUGAAAUUGGACUAGACAUUGAAUCGAGAAUUGUGUGAUUUUAGUUGUUUAUCAUGGUUUUGAAUCGAUGAGAUUGAAACGGUUGUGAAAGAAGUCGAUCAACAUUUAAUUAUCAAAAUUAAUUGAUUAAAGUUCGAUUGAAUCGACUAAUUAAAUUAAUUAAGAUUAAUUAUCAAAAUUAUUUAAUUAAAAUUAAAUAAUCAAGUCAAUUAAAAUUAAUUAAUGGUAAUUAACUAAUUGGACAAAAUUUAAUUAAUUAAUUUGUUAUAAUUAAAAGAGAAAGAAUUAAGUGACAAUGUCAAUUUGAUUGAUUGAAUUGAAUCGGUGACAAUGUGCUCAUAAACCGGUUUUUACAUAACGACAACGGAGUUGGAGUGUCGUAUGUAAGGAUCGAAACAUUGUGAAACUUCUAAAUCAAUGUAUAGAAACUUGGGCGGCAUAAAGACAUAAUUUGUUGAAUCCACGGAUUAAAAGCCGAGCCAAAAUGCAAUGCGAUUAAAUAGUAGCAACACAAAUAUUAUUUACAUAACUUGGAAAUUACUUUCAAAAUAUGGAAGUGCCAUAGUAGUAGUAAGGGAGUCUAUAAAAUAAAAGAAACAUGGCCCAAGGCCCAAUACAUACAAGUCCCUAUUUGAAACCAAAAGUUUACAUCUAUCAUAAAAGAAGACACUCUGUAUUUUUGUCAUGACAAAUUUUAUCAAGCACAAACAAACCAGUCCUACUGCACUAGGCUAGGCCCUCUCCUUUGCAAUCACAUUUACACAGAGCAUUAAGUGGACCAAAUCUGAGUUAAUGUAUCCAUUAAUACACACUAAUACACAAUAGUCAGAGUCAAGAAAUUAGUUUAAAACCUAAGUAACCUUUAUCAUCUUUAUAGCAAAACCAAACAUUGGGUAAAUCUACCGACACACAACACUCAUACCAAAUAAUCAAUACCAACACAAUCCAGGUAUCUCAAUGUUCAAAGUUCAAAAUAGCAAAAUAAAAUCCAAUGUUUUAAAAUGGAAUUCACAACAUAGCCAAAUGUUUCAAAAAAAAUCGAAGUAUUGAAACAAAGCCACACGCACACUAUAAUACUUCAGUGUUCUUACUGAUAUUAAUCACGAUCUAGCUAAACCAAUACAAGCUGCAUAAUCGAUAUGGUAAGAUAGCAUAAACAUGAUAGAUAUUCAUUAUCAAAAGAUGACCGACGUCAAUUUGGGAUGCCAAAUUUGUUGAACUCGAACAAGAUAAACGAACAAGAUCAAAGCCAACAGUAUUAAUACACAAAUCGAUGUAACACCGGAUAAACAGAGUUGUCAAAAUCAGAAUCGAGUGUUUGCUGCGAGUUAUUGCUGUUGGGUGGUUAUUGUUGAGUCUUGCUUGGAACAGGUUCUGAGUUGCAAAGAUGUCAUCGAUGUGUGGAUAUACUGCCGAGUUGUUCGUUGUCUUCUUACCAUGUCAACAGCGACUCAAACCUACUAUCAUCUUAUAACUGCACCUUCAGCAAGAAUUUGAAAUUUCGCUAAUCGUUUUCUUUGGAAAUUGGAGUUAUUCUCUUCGAAAUCAUACAACAAGCGACACCGUAUUGUUCACACGAUUGUUACCACAAUAGAGUUAGUUUGUAGCGUGAUUUCCACAACUUGGUGAGUUUGAGGCAAAAGCAGUUUCAGUUGGAGGGUAUGGGAUCUAAUUCCACGGUUUAGGGGAGAUGAUGUUGAACGGAAAGUGGAGGAAGAGUGGAAGAUGGUGGUGGAAACACGGUGGUGAAUGGAGGUUGUUGUGGUGGUUCAGAUGUUUGAGAGUGAAACGGAGGGAGAUCCGGAGGUAACGGUGAUUUUUAUGGCAGUGAAGUUGGUUUUGAUGAAGGAAUCUCCCCCUUGAGUUCUUUUCAGAAAGCCUUUUUUAGAGGAAGGGAUUUCGUUUUCUUUCUCUGAAAAGUCAUUCCUCUUUUUAUC
This 12431-nucleotide long non-coding RNA is filed under the name Lathyrus oleraceus (garden pea). RNAcentral's name for it is "Pisum sativum (pea) long non-coding RNA (PSAT_LNC038961)". Lineage: Eukaryota; Viridiplantae; Streptophyta; Magnoliopsida; Fabales; Fabaceae. The record is from RNAcentral.